UGUGGUGGCUACAUUUUAUUUUUCUUCAAAAAGGUUAGUUAGAUUCAUAAAGAUUAAGCAUUAAAGAAUAGGGCAAAAUAGAUAGAGCAUAAAAUCAGCAUAUAGAGCGCAAAGUUAGCCUAGGCCCAACCCCAUUAUAUGGAGAAGUCUCAAACCAACCAACAACACCCAAACCUCAGAAAAAAAAAAGGCCCAAAGGCUAAACCAUUGAAAACCUAAGCUAUGGUAGAGCCUCGACCCAAAGAAGCAGGUCCUAAACACCAUAGCAGCUUUCAAGCUGAAAUUGAGCCAACGAGAACCUUGGCCACCAGACACAGCACCAUGUUGAGUAGCCACCAUUGAAGCAAUGUUGAGACCAAGGGAAGCAAGAGUAGAAGAGACCUCAUGCUGAAAGUUUUCAUGUCGAAGAACCCAACAUAUCGAGUUUAGAGGGACCUCAAGCACAAGUCAUCAUUUGAAAAGCACGAGGACAAGGACCAGUCUCCGCAACUCUACAGGGGGCAAGGGAGAGUUUAAUGACUUUCUCAAUCUCUUAGCCAUGAAGGGAUUGAGAGGCUAAGCUUUAGCACUGAAGUGUUUGCAAAGUGCCAUACCAACAACAACAAAACCCCUAGAGUAUAGCCUAAACAAGCUAACCACUGGAAAGACAAAAUCCACACCAUCUAGCAGUGAUGAGGAGUUGUUCUGUAAGUAGAUCUCAAAUGAAGCCUUAACAUAAAGUGCAUAUUUCCUAAAAGAACCAAAAGAAAACCCAUCUGCAACCUAUAACCCAACCUACAUAAAUAUAAGGGUGAAAACCCACUUAUCUAGGUAAGGGGAAGGGGACCUUCCCUCCCUAGAAUGUAGGGAAAGGCCGUUUGCAGGUGACUCUAAUAGGAGUCUCUCCUCUAAAAGAAAGAACAAUCAAGAGAAAUUUUUCAAUCAAGAGAAAUUUUUUCUAUCAAAAAUCUGAAUAGAAUUCGAGAAUGACUUGUGGUGGCUACUUAUCUUAUAGGGUUUUCAUAGCAUUUUAUUUCUAAUGGAUUUGAGCAAGG
Molecule: unclassified non-coding RNA, 1034 nt
Filed under: Hevea brasiliensis (rubber tree)
Lineage: Eukaryota; Viridiplantae; Streptophyta; Magnoliopsida; Malpighiales; Euphorbiaceae
Source: RNAcentral